GCUGGUAGUCUGCGCCUGUAAUCCUAGCUACUGGGGAGGCUGAGGAGAGAGGAUCGCUUGAGCCCAGGAGUUCUGGGCUGUAGUGCACUGUGUCACUAGAUAGAGUGUCUGCACUUAAGUUCAGGAGGGAGGGACCACCCAGGUUGCCUAAGGAGGGAUGAACCGGCCCAGGUCGGAGAUGGAGCAGGUCAAAACUCCCGUGCUGAUCAGUAAUGGGAUCAUACCUGUGAACAGCCACUGCACUCCAGCCUGGGCAACAUGGGGAGACCCUGUCUCU
Molecule: unclassified non-coding RNA, 277 nt
Organism: Homo sapiens (human)
Lineage: Eukaryota; Metazoa; Chordata; Mammalia; Primates; Hominidae
Source: Ensembl